UAGUAUUUAAUGUAAGUUGAACAUAUUAAAUUUUGAUUUUAAUAAUAUAAAUGUAAA
Molecule: transfer RNA, 57 nt
Filed under: Galendromus occidentalis (western predatory mite)
Lineage: Eukaryota; Metazoa; Arthropoda; Arachnida; Mesostigmata; Phytoseiidae
Description: tRNA-Gln
Source: RNAcentral